This 141-nucleotide small nuclear RNA is filed under the name Aotus nancymaae (Ma's night monkey). Its description in RNAcentral is "U4 spliceosomal RNA (ENSANAG00000003809.1)". It matches the Rfam family "U4 spliceosomal RNA". From Rfam's summary of the family: U4 small nuclear RNA (U4 snRNA) is a component of the major U2-dependent spliceosome. The structure of U4 snRNA from yeast and human has been reported. Lineage: Eukaryota; Metazoa; Chordata; Mammalia; Primates; Aotidae. The record is from Rfam by way of RNAcentral.
AGCUUUGCGCAGUGGCAGUAUCAUAGCCAAUGAGGUUUAUCCGAGGUGCGAUUAUUGCUAAUUGAAAACUUUUCCCAAUACCCCACCAUGACGACUUGAAAUAUAGUCCGCAUUGGCAAUUUUUGACAGUCUCUACAGAGA